GACGAACGCUGGCGGCGUGCUUAACACAUGCAAGUCGAACGGAAAGGCCCUGCUUUUGUGGGGUGCUCGAGUGGCGAAAGGGUGAGUAACACGUGAGUAACCUGCCCGUGACUUUGGGAUAACUUCAGGAAACUGGGGCUAAUACCGGAUAGGAGCUCCUGCUGCAUGGCGGGGGUUGGAAAGUUUCGGCGGUUGGGGAUGGACUCGCGGCUUAUCAGCUUGUUGGGGGGGUAGUGGCUUACCAAGGCUUUGACGGGUAGCCGGCCUGAGAGGGUGACCGGCCACAUUGGGAUUGAGAUACGGCCCAGACUCCUACGGGAGGCAGGGGUGGGGAAUAUUGCACAAUGGGCGGAAGCCUGAUGCAGCACCGCCGCGUGCGGGAUGACGGCCUUCGGGUUGUAAUCCGCUUUCGCCUGUGACGAAGCGUGAGUGACGGUAAUGGGUAAAGAAGCACCGGCUAACUACGUG
This 468-nucleotide ribosomal RNA is filed under the name uncultured bacterium. Its description in RNAcentral is "partial 16S ribosomal RNA". It matches the Rfam family "Bacterial small subunit ribosomal RNA", at positions 28 to 507 of the family's 1533-position model. The record is from RNAcentral.